ACUGGUGAGUAAUACGUAGGAAUCUACCCUAGAGUGGGGGAUAACCCGGGGAAACUCGGGCUAAUACCGCAUGGUCUCUAUGGAGUAAAGGUGGCUAGCAAUAGCUAUCGCUUUAGGAUGAGCCUACGCCGGAUUAGCUAGUUGGUAGGGUAAUGGCCUACCAAGGCAACGAUCCGUAGCUGGUCUGAGAGGACGACCAGCCACACUGGGACUGAGAUACGGCCCAGACUCCUACGGGAGGCAGCAGUGGGGAAUAUUGGACAAUGGGCGAAAGCCUGAUCCAGCAAUGCCGCGUGUGUGAUGAAGGCCUGCGGGUUGUAAAACACUUUCGUUGGGGAAGAAAUGCUCAAAGCUAAUAUCUUUGAGAGUUGACGUUACCCAAAGAAGAAGCACCGGCUAACUCUGUGCCAGCAGCCGCGGUAAUACAGAGGGUGCAAGCGUUAAUCGGAGUUACUGGGCGUAAAGGGCGCGUAGGUGGAUAUUUAAGUCGGAUGUGAAAUCCCCGGGCUUAACCUGGGAAUUGCAUUCGAUACUGGAUAUCUCGAGUAUGGUAGAGGAAAGCGGAAUUCCCGGU
This 574-nucleotide ribosomal RNA is filed under the name uncultured bacterium. Its description in RNAcentral is "bacterial SSU rRNA". It matches the Rfam family "Bacterial small subunit ribosomal RNA", at positions 102 to 674 of the family's 1533-position model. The record is from RNAcentral.